CCCUUAGAUGUUCUGGGCAGCACGCGCGCUACAAUGGUCUUCGCAAACGGAUGCAUUCUCGAAGGAGAAUGCCAAUCUUGGAAUCUAUGCCUUGGUCGGGACAGUUGCUUGCAAUUUUUCGACUCGAACCAGGAAUUCCUUGUAAUCGUGAUUCAUCACAUCACGAUGAAUACGUCCCUGCCCUUUGUACACACCGCCCGUCGCUCCUACCGAUCGAAGAGUUAGGUGAAUUGUUUUGAUCGAUAAGAUUUGACUAUGGUCAACUCUCGUUGUGAAAUUCUGUGAAUCUGACUGUUUCGAGGAAGGAAAAGUCGUAACA
This 319-nucleotide ribosomal RNA is filed under the name uncultured eukaryote. RNAcentral describes it as "partial 18S ribosomal RNA". It matches the Rfam family "Eukaryotic small subunit ribosomal RNA", at positions 1470 to 1796 of the family's 1831-position model. The record is from RNAcentral.